GGAAGGUUCAAUUUGGUUGUUUACUGCAAAAAAGUUUGAGGGGUCUCUUCCAUUCACAGUUCAAGCAAACUAUGAAGGAUUUUCUGAAGGUAGCUGAAUGAUUCCUUUUGGCUCAUAUAUACAUAUACAUUUGGUAUGUAAAUGCAAAUAUUAAGUUUAUAAAUGUCGAACGAUUGGCAGGAAUUGUAGUUGGUGAUGAACUAGUUAUUGAUGGUGGAAUGGCAUGCUUUGAAGUGAUUGAAAAGAUUGGAAAUGAUUUGCGCUGUAAGUGCACAGAUUCUGGUCUGUUUCUGCCUCGAGCCAA
Molecule: long non-coding RNA, 304 nt
Filed under: Manihot esculenta (cassava)
Lineage: Eukaryota; Viridiplantae; Streptophyta; Magnoliopsida; Malpighiales; Euphorbiaceae
Description: long non-coding RNA (MESC_LNC003863)
Source: RNAcentral